CCGACGCCCUCGCUCCAGGCCGGUUCAGAAUUUGCAAAAAGGAGCGGACUCCCUGCUCUCCCAGAUAUAAUGAAUGCCUCUAAUGGAAUGGAAAGAGGAGAACAAUUUGUUCCACUGGCCAUGAAAUGGCAGCUGAAGCACGAUCAUGUGUGGACUCUCUUGUUUGGCCUUCAGAUGUCUUCAUCAUCCGCCCUCCCCACCCCUGCAUGUUUUCCUUCUUUCCUUGGCUAUAACGCUCCACCUGCCAGCCCUGUGGCCUUGCACUAUCCCAGAUUCCUGGAAGGAUCUUCCCCUUCGCCUCCACUUCUGUGUUUCCAUGGCUUUCUUGAGCCUCACAGGGAGUUGCUCCUGCUUCCUCCAGGAGGCCUUCCCUAGUCCUCCCAGCUGCUGAUGCCACCCCUCGGAGAUUUCCUCCCAUCUCUCCUGGGUAGCUCUCAUCGGAACCUAGCCAUUGACAUGUUGUACCUCCCAACAGACUGUGAAGUCCUGGCUAGCAGGCAAAUGGCUUUUUUUCUUUCUUGGUAACUCCAGGACUUUGCACAGUACCUUGAGGGAAUACAGCAGGUGUUUAAUAAAUGCUUGUGAAAUUGAUACACCAACAAGUACAACCCAGCCUGAAUUGCUUGCCAGCUCUGGGAAGGAGAAGGGAAGAAGGGAGGGAGACAAUCUGAAUGACACAACUUCGGAAAACUUACUUGGAAGUUUGUUAUUAAAGUAAAGAUAAAUAAAAGUGAAAUAAUAAAUGGAUA
Gracilinanus agilis (Agile Gracile Mouse Opossum) is the source of this 749-nucleotide long non-coding RNA. RefSeq lists it as uncharacterized. The transcript has 2 exons. Lineage: Eukaryota; Metazoa; Chordata; Mammalia; Didelphimorphia; Didelphidae. The record is from RefSeq and is a predicted model, not a curated record.